RNAcentral lists this ribosomal RNA (481 nucleotides) under uncultured microorganism. RNAcentral's name for it is "bacterial SSU rRNA". It matches the Rfam family "Bacterial small subunit ribosomal RNA", at positions 9 to 483 of the family's 1533-position model. The record is from RNAcentral.
GAGUUUGAUCAUGGCUCAGAUUGAACGCUGGCGGCAUGCCUUACACAUGCAAGUCGAACGGCAGCAUGAUCUAGCUUGCUAGAUUGAUGGCGAGUGGCGAACGGGUGAGUAAUACAUCGGAACGUGCCCUGUAGUGGGGGAUAACUAGUCGAAAGAUUAGCUAAUACCGCAUACGACCUGAGGGUGAAAGUGGGGGACCGCAAGGCCUCAUGCUAUAGGAGCGGCCGAUGUCUGAUUAGCUAGUUGGUGGGGUAAAGGCCCACCAAGGCGACGAUCAGUAGCUGGUCUGAGAGGACGAUCAGCCACACUGGGACUGAGACACGGCCCAGACUCCUACGGGAGGCAGCAGUGGGGAAUUUUGGACAAUGGGGGCAACCCUGGUCCAGCAAUGCCGCGUGUGUGAAGGAGGCCUCGGUUGUAAGCACUUUGUCCGGUAAGAAGUACGCACUACUAAUAUUAGUGUGGAGUGACGGUACCGGAA